Molecule: ribosomal RNA, 468 nt
Filed under: uncultured bacterium
Lineage: Bacteria
Description: partial 16S ribosomal RNA
Rfam family: Bacterial small subunit ribosomal RNA
Source: RNAcentral
GAUGAACGCUGGCGGCGUGCUUAACACAUGCAAGUCGAACGGAAAGGCCCAAGCUUGCUUGGGUACUCGAGUGGCGAACGGGUGAGUAACACGUGGGUGAUCUGCCCUGCACUUCGGGAUAAGCCUGGGAAACUGGGUCUAAUACCGGAUAGGACGAUGGUUUGGAUGCCAUUGUGGAAAGUUUUUUCGGUGUGGGAUGAGCUCGCGGCCUAUCAGCUUGUUGGUGGGGUAAUGGCCUACCAAGGCGUCGACGGGUAGCCGGCCUGCGAGGGUGUACGGCCACACUGGAACUGAGAGGCGGCCCAGACUCCUGAGGGGGGCAGAAGUGGGGAAUAUUGCACAAUGGGCGCAAGCCUGAUGCAGCGACGCCGCGUGGGGGAUGACGGCCUUCGGGUUGUAAAAUCCUUUCGCUAGGGACGAAGCGUUUUUGUGACGGUACCUGGAGAAGAAGCACCGGCUAACUACGUG